CUUCAGGACUGAACACAGGGUAUUGGAUAACCAAUUAGGGACUCAUCUCAUUCUUCCUUUCUCAGCUAUCAUUAGUUGUCUGCAGUCCUUUGUGGACAUAGGGUUGUGGCCCUGUGAGAAUUCCUUCCUCCUUCCACAAUAGCAGGUCUAUUGGUAUUGUCAUUGUUUGAGUCUUAUUUAGGUCCCCAUUUGUUGAGAUUCCACAUGCAUAGCUUCCCUGUCAUUUCUAAAAGCAUAAUCUCAUAGCAGACUUCCAGAUCCUCUGGUUCCUACCACCUUUCUCCCCUGUCUUCCAUAAUGCUUCCUGAGCCUUUGGUACCAGAGUUGUAUUGUAGACCUACCCACCGGGGCUAAGGUCCUCAUGAGCUGUUUUUAUUUUGACCAGUUGUGUUUUUUCUUUAAUUGUCUCUGUCUGUUGCAAAGAGAAGCUUCUUUGAUGAGGGGUGAGAGCUGUGUUUACCUGUGUGUCUGAUGAUAAAUAUUCAGAAUGAAGUUAAGACUCAUGCUUGUUUAUGAAAGUAGUAAUUGUAAAUCUCCUACAAGGUUUAUAGUCUCACUAGCCCCGGCAGUCAGCUAGGUUUCCAGUCCCAGUCAUCAUUUCUUUUCUGUUGAGCAAGCCUAAAAUCCAAUUAGACAGCUAUUACUUACCACCAGGAUAUGAGAUAGUCAUGUGUUCUCUGUGAAACAAUCAGUAGGAAGUUCAAGAUGGUGACAGCAGUCACAAGACCCCAUGGGUCUGCAGAGUGCAACCUACGGAAUGCCCUAAUGUGUGUGCGCUAAUGAAAACUUUGUCUGGAUGGGAGUGUAGGCCCAUGUUGGCCAUUUGUUCAUUAGACAUGAAUAUGGUGGUCUGUCCAUCAGGGACAGCUCCAUGGAUCUGAAACCGAUGCAUGUAUUCCCCUCCCACUUACAUGUUCACAAGGAUGGGCAGUGACUAUGGCAGAGGUGAGACCAGAGCAGAAUUCCUGUGAACAAGACUGCUGGUGUAUCCGUGAAGUGUUUGCAAGUGGAUCCAGCUACCACUGUUAACCUAUGAACUGAACUGCCAAUUUCCAGACAACACAGAUGGGAGUUGCUCAUCGAACAAACCAUUCCUAAACAGGUCUAUUUCCCCCAUAUCCUUUCUUUUCCAUUAGAUCUGGUGGGUGAUGGGCUAAAAGGGAGGUUCAAGCAUUGAAGAAUCAUUAUUAAAAGUAGGUUUUAAAAAGUCAAAGUUAUACCUUUUAAUUAAGUCUUCCCCAGCUUGCCCUUUUCUCGAACAUCCUCAGGAUUGGGUUUGUCCUUUGGUUUAUAGGAAUUAAGUGUACAUCUCAUCCACAUUUGUUGGAGCACAGCCUCUAAAGAUAGUUUGAUGCUCCCUGAAACAUGUGGGGCAUGAUUCCUAUCUCAGAGACCCUUCACAGUGCAAUGUUGUCUAAGCACCUCUCUCACUCCGGCAGUGAGCACACGCAUUACCAGUAUGCAUACACUUACCCAGGCUACAGGGAAAUCUGGAUUGAAAAUGUGUGAAAUCUGCUUGCUUGGGGAAACUAACUGUGGACAGAUCUUUUUCAUAAUUUGUGAUAUCUCAUACUAUGUUGGAUGUGCUCGUUCUAUGAACUGUAUCAGUUAAAUGCAUUGUGAGGUACGGCGCUUGUCAAAUAAGGCGCCGCUGUCCCUAAGAAAACAGCCUUGGCAAAUGGGCUGAAAGCAAACAAUACAGAGUCUGGUAGUUUGAAAGGAGCACAGUGAGAGGAAAGCCUAAGGGGGGUGGAGGGUGCGAGGGCAUUGAUGUUCUUGGCCCAGGCAGGGCUGAAGUUUUCUUCUUCUUAAAUAAAAGACAAGUAUGAUCUUUAUAAGAUGAGUAUAUGAUCUUUAUGAACCCUGCAAGAUUUCACAUUAUCUGACACUUUUUUUUGAAAAGUUAUUUUUAAGCUCACAAAGGUAUUGUUGGGACCCUUAUAAAAGUUUCAAACAAUGCAGAAUUUUCAAAGUGAAGAGCGACUGUUGUCCUUUAUCCUUCGCUAUGAUCCUCCCCUCCCUGACUCUUUUUGAAUUUCCGCAUGCCACGUGUGUGCUUUCAUGCAUGUAGGAGCACACAGAGAUUUGGUUUGGGUAAAAACAAUAUAUACAGAGGAGAGAUAGAUAUAUGUGAUGUAAAUGUAGGUAGGUAUAAAUAUAGAUUGUAUAGCUUGGUCAGAGCUUUAUUGAAUGUUAUCUUACUGGUAGCUUUAUAGGUCAUGAAAGCAGAAGAGAGGACUAUGGUAUAAGGAGGGAGAGCAGCGAGAGAAGGAAGAAGAUGAAACACAAGGAAUGACAUCAUCGGACGCACACGCACAUGCGCGCGCAUGCGUGCGCAUGCGUGCACACGCACACCCACACAGGCACCCGUGUAAAACUGCCACAGUGAAAGUCAUUUCUCUGUAUAUCAACUAGAAACUCAACAGAAAUUAGAGCAACAGAAUCCCCGCCAAAAUUAUCCCUAACAACGUUUUAUUCCAGGACUGCUAACGGUUUUCCCCGAGUAAUGAGCCACACGAAAGCGUAGGACUAGAGGGAGCCUGUGAAGUCACAAUUACUCCCCCACUGAAAGCCACUUAAAGCUCUCCCUAUUUCUGGUUCUAUAUGAAGUGCUGCCGUGAGCAUCCUUGUGCAUUUGUCUUCGAGUGUGUCCGAGGAGUAGAAUUCAAGGUGUGGCCAAGGCCCUGGAAGAGGAGAUGAGUAAGAUAAUCGGAAUUCAUGAUCAUCAUAAACCACUCCUUUGAAAAACAGAAGACUUAAAGGUGGGAGUAUGGAGUGAUGCUCCCUGGAACAGUGACGUCGACAGGCUUAGAGAAAUGGAAUGGCGCCCUGUCACCAAACUGCCUUCUACUGGGACUCUCUGGUUCACCAUCUCUUGAUCAUCACACUGAGAACCAAACGUACUUAGGGGAACAAACUCAACCCCUAGCAGCCAGUUUAUCCUCAUCGUCUCCUUCUGACAGGCCAUGAGCAGAGACCUUCUUAACUGGAGCGCCUCCUCCGAAGUCGGAUAACUGAGUAACUGGAUUUACGGAUGCUGAAGUGAGAGCCUUCUCUGCUUCCUGCGAUGGCUGUCUUAGGGGAGAGAGCUGAACCCCUUACCAAAAACAACCAACCAAACAUAAAACGUAGAGAAAGGCUUAGUGAUCCUUCUUAGAGAUGAAGGUGGGAUGGCUGUGCACAGUGGCUCUUUUCCCUGGAGGUGCCAAAAAGCUGUAGCUGUGGAUUCAAUGUGGACUCAGUGUGACAGAAACCGGAGCUCCAUAGAACUGUGAGCCAACGGGCCGGGACAGCAAGGGGGUUGGGCACUCAGCCUGGGGAAAUGCUUGCUACUCAGAAAAAGGUAAAACAGCUUCUAGAAUGUUGAACUAGAAUGUUGCUUUCCUGUAGUGUCUAGCAUGGAAUCCCUUGUUUUAUAUUUUCGUAGAUGAGAAUAUCUGGGUUUUUCUGUCUGAAUUUCCUGUGUAAUCCCCACUCCAUCCAGCUUAUCUCCAUUUGGUUAUUUGCCUGUCUACUGUUGGUUGGUAGACAGUCUUUAUGUAUUGUGGCCUUUCUUUUCCUGAGAGUUGUAUAGAAAGGCUUGUUCUCCCCAGACAGAAAGCCCAAAGAGAUGAUUCCAUCCGAGCCCAUCCUGGCGACCUCGUGAGUUUACUGUGAAGAGUGACUUACGGGGGUAGGAAUGACUCAGGCAGCUGCAUCACAAAAAAAUGCUCCCCACACCAGCUCGUGAAAGCUGCACCAUCAGAGCUUCCUGUGUGACGGGCGGGCAGCUACAUCACUGAAAGCUCUCCUCUGGCUCACAGAGCCUGGGAGUCUUAACUGGUUUCCUAACUUCCUGGAUCUUCCUCGUGAGUUUCCCCGAGCUUUGGGACCCAGCCUCCCUCCACAAAGCAACGUUUCAGCCCCUAAGAAGCAGCUACUUAGCACACGGUCUGAAUGACUCAUGGAUGACAUAGGGGGCCUGCAAGAUGGUUCAGGGUAACGGGGUUUGUCCCCAAGUCUGGCCAGCUGAGUUCCUUCCCUGGAACUAGCAGGAGAGAAACAAGUUCCAAAAGUUCAUCUUCAGAACCAUCCCUCCAAGGCCUCUGCAUCAGCUCCUGCUUCCUGACCUGCUUGAGUUCCAGUCCUGACUUCCUUUGGUGAUGAACAGCAAUGUGGAAGUGCGAGCUGAAUAAACCCUUUC
Molecule: small RNA, 4183 nt
Filed under: Rattus norvegicus (Norway rat)
Lineage: Eukaryota; Metazoa; Chordata; Mammalia; Rodentia; Muridae
Description: uncharacterized ncRNA RGD1596092
Source: RNAcentral